This 333-nucleotide ribosomal RNA is filed under the name uncultured Glomeromycotina. RNAcentral's name for it is "eukaryotic LSU rRNA". Lineage: Eukaryota; Fungi; Glomeromycota. The record is from RNAcentral.
UAUCAGCCUUUUGGGCAUGAUUCUGUGGAGCGUGAGGAGUUAAACGCCUUCAUGCCUGCAUAUUCGUGUACUUUGGGUGUACUUGCCUGUGUGGUUAGUUAACAUCAAUUUUGGUUAUCAUAAAAUGGUUGGAGGAAUGUAGCUUCGAUUUCGAUUGAAGUGUUAUAGCCUUCGGCAGAUGUGAUGAUCGGGAUUGAGGAUUGCAACGGAUACCCUUCGGGGCUACCUGUCUGGUCUCUGAUCGUUGCUCUGGUGCCGAAAGCGUGCUUACGGUUAUCAAAGUCGAUGGUCAAUAGGUUAGAACGGGUUAAAUUCGUUAAGGAUGUUGACGUA